This 406-nucleotide ribosomal RNA is filed under the name uncultured bacterium. RNAcentral's name for it is "partial 16S ribosomal RNA". It matches the Rfam family "Bacterial small subunit ribosomal RNA", at positions 29 to 526 of the family's 1533-position model. The record is from RNAcentral.
AUUGAACGCUGGCGGCAGGCCUAACACAUGCAAGUCGAACGAGUGGCGGACGGGUGAGUAAUGGCUGGGAAACUGCCCGAUGGAGGGGGAUAACUACUGGAAACGGUAGCUAAUACCGCAUACCAUCGGAUGUGCCCAGAUGGGAGUAGCUAGUAGGUGGGGUAACGGGUCACCUAGGCGACGAUCCCUAGCUGGUCUGAGAGGAGGACCAGACACACUGGAACUGAGACAAGGUCCAGACUCCGACGUGAGGCAGCAGUGGGGAAUAUUGCACAAUGGGCGCAAGCCUGAUGCAGCCAUGCCGCGUGUAUGAAGAAGGCCUUCGGGUUGUAAAGUACGUUCAGCGAGGAGGCGUUACUCGCAGAAGAAGCACCGGCUAACUCCGUGCCAGCAGCCGCGGUAAUUC